GAUGAACGCUGGCGGCGUGCUUAACACAUGCAAGUCGAACGGGAAACCUUUUAAUGAGGCUUCGGCAGAUUUAGCUGGUUUCUAGUGGCGGACGGGUGAGUAACGCGUGGGUAACCUGCCUUAUACAGGGGGAUAACAGUCAGAAAUGACUGCUAAUACCGCAUAAGCGCACAGGACCGCAUGGUCCGGUGUGAAAAACUCCGGUGGUAUAAGAUGGACCCGCGUUGGAUUAGCUUGUUGGUGGGGUAACGGCUCACCAAGGCGACGAUCCAUAGCCGGCCUGAGAGGGUGAACGGCCACAUUGGGACUGAGACACGGCCCAGACUCCUACGGGAGGCAGCAGUGGGGAAUAUUGCACAAUGGGGGAAACCCUGAUGCAGCGACGCCGCGUGAAGGAAGAAGUAUCUCGGUAUGUAAACUUCUAUCAGCAGGGAAGAUAGUGACGGUACCUGACUAAGAAGCCCCGGCUAACUACGUG
RNAcentral lists this ribosomal RNA (478 nucleotides) under uncultured bacterium. Its description in RNAcentral is "partial 16S ribosomal RNA". It matches the Rfam family "Bacterial small subunit ribosomal RNA", at positions 28 to 507 of the family's 1533-position model. The record is from RNAcentral.